CCUACGGGUGGCAGCAGUGAGGAAUAUUGGUCAAUGGGCGCGAGACUGAACCAGCCAAGUAGCGUGAAGGAUGACUGUCCUACGGGUUGUAAACUUCUUUUAUAAAGGAAUAAAGUGAGGCACGUGUGCCUUUUUGUAUGUACUUUAUGAAUAAGGAUCGGCUAACUCCGUGCCAGCAGCCGCGGUAAUACGGAGGAUGCGAGCGUUAUCCGGAUUUAUUGGGUUUAAAGGGAGCGUAGGUGGGUUGUUAAGUCAGUUGUGAAAGUUUGCGGCUCAACCGUAAAAUUGCAAUUGAUACUGGCAGUCUUGAGUACAGUUGAGGUAGGCGGAAUUCGUGGUGUAGCGGUGAAAUGCUUAGAUAUCACGAAGAACUCCGAUUGCGAAGGCAGCUUACUAACCUGCCACUGACAUUGAUGCUCGAAAGUGUGGGUAUCAAACAGGAUUAGAUACCCCUGUAGUC
This 460-nucleotide ribosomal RNA is filed under the name uncultured bacterium. RNAcentral describes it as "partial 16S ribosomal RNA". It matches the Rfam family "Bacterial small subunit ribosomal RNA", at positions 338 to 795 of the family's 1533-position model. The record is from RNAcentral.